GAUGAACGCUAGCUACAGGCUUAACACAUGCAAGUCGAGGGGAAACGACAUCGAAAGCUUGCUUUUGAUGGGCGUCGACCGGCGCACGGGUGAGUAACGCGUAUCCAACCUGCCCACCACUUGGGGAUAACCUUGCGAAAGUAAGACUAAUACCCAAUGACGUCUCUAGAAGACAUCUGAAAGAGAUUAAAGAUUUAUCGGUGAUGGAUGGGGAUGCGUCUGAUUAGCUUGUUGGCGGGGUAACGGCCCACCAAGGCGACGAUCAGUAGGGGUUCUGAGAGGAAGGGCCGCCACAUUGGAACUGAGACACGGUCCAAACUCCUACGGGAGGCAGCAGUGAGGAAUAGUGAUCAAUGGACGAGAGUCUGAACCAGCCAAGUAGCGUGCAGGAUGACGGCCCUAUGGGUUGUAAACUGCUUUUAUAAGGGAAUAAAGUGAGUCUCGUGAGACUUUUUGCAUGUACCUUAUGAAUAAGGACCGGCUAAUUCCGUG
This 492-nucleotide ribosomal RNA is filed under the name uncultured bacterium. Its description in RNAcentral is "partial 16S ribosomal RNA". It matches the Rfam family "Bacterial small subunit ribosomal RNA", at positions 28 to 507 of the family's 1533-position model. The record is from RNAcentral.